AGAGUUUGAUCAUGGCUCAGAUUGAACGCUGGCGGCAGGCCUAACACAUGCAAGUCGAGCGGUAGCACAGAGAGCUUGCUCUCGGGUGACGAGCGGCGGACGGGUGAGUAAUGUCUGGGAAACUGCCUGAUGGAGGGGGAUAACUACUGGAAACGGUAGCUAAUACCGCAUAACGUCGCAAGACCAAAGUGGGGGACCUUCGGGCCUCAUGCCAUCAGAUGUGCCCAGAUGGGAUUAGCUAGUAGGUGGGGUAACGGCUCACCUAGGCGACGAUCCCUAGCUGGUCUGAGAGGAUGACCAGCCACACUGGAACUGAGACACGGUCCAGACUCCUACGGGAGGCAGCAGUGGGGAAUAUUGCACAAUGGGCGCAAGCCUGAUGCAGCCAUGCCGCGUGUGUGAAGAAGGCCUUCGGGUUGUAAAGCACUUUCAGCGGGGAGGAAGGCGAUAAGGUUAAUAACCUUGUCGAUUGACGUUACCCGCAGAAGAAGCACCGGCUAACUCCGUGCCAGCAGCCGCGGUAAUACGGAGGGUGCAAGCGUUAAUCGGAAUUACUGGGCGUAAAGCGCACGCAGGCGGUCUGUCAAGUCGGAUGUGAAAUCCCCGGGCUCAACCUGGGAACUGCAUUCGAAACUGGCAGGCUAGAGUCUUGUAGAGGGGGGUAGAAUUCCAGGUGUAGCGGUGAAAUGCGUAGAGAUCUGGAGGAAUACCGGUGGCGAAGGCGGCCCCCUGGACAAAGACUGACGCUCAGGUGCGAAAGCGUGGGGAGCAAACAGGAUUAGAUACCCUGGUAGUCCACGCCGUAAACGAUGUCGAUUUGGAGGUUGUGCCCUUGAGGCGUGGCUUCCGGAGCUAACGCGUUAAAUCGACCGCCUGGGGAGUACGGCCGCAAGGUUAAAACUCAAAUGAAUUGACGGGGGCCCGCACAAGCGGUGGAGCAUGUGGUUUAAUUCGAUGCAACGCGAAGAACCUUACCUGGUCUUGACAUCCACAGAACUUUCCAGAGAUGGAUUGGUGCCUUCGGGAACUGUGAGACAGGUGCUGCAUGGCUGUCGUCAGCUCGUGUUGUGAAAUGUUGGGUUAAGUCCCGCAACGAGCGCAACCCUUAUCCUUUGUUGCCAGUGGUUAGGCCGGGAACUCAAAGGAGACUGCCAGUGAUAAACUGGAGGAAGGUGGGGAUGACGUCAAGUCAUCAUGGCCCUUACGACCAGGGCUACACACGUGCUACAAUGGCAUAUACAAAGAGAAGCGACCUCGCGAGAGCAAGCGGACCUCAUAAAGUAUGUCGUAGUCCGGAUUGGAGUCUGCAACUCGACUCCAUGAAGUCGGAAUCGCUAGUAAUCGUAGAUCAGAAUGCUACGGUGAAUACGUUCCCGGGCCUUGUACACACCGCCCGUCACACCAUGGGAGUGGGUUGCAAAAGAAGUAGGUAGCUUAACCUUCGGGAGGGCGCUUACCACUUUGUGAUUCAUGACUGGGGUGAAGUCGUAACAAGGUAACCGUAGGGGAACCUGCGGUUGGAUCACCU
Molecule: ribosomal RNA, 1528 nt
Filed under: Klebsiella pneumoniae
Lineage: Bacteria; Pseudomonadati; Pseudomonadota; Gammaproteobacteria; Enterobacterales; Enterobacteriaceae
Description: bacterial SSU rRNA
Rfam family: Bacterial small subunit ribosomal RNA
Source: RNAcentral